UGAAUAAAGGAAUAUUAUUCAUAAAUAUAACAUGUAACGGAUAAUUACAAUUUUUCAAUAAACAAAAUACAAUUCUUCAAUGAACAAAAUUCCAGAUGAAAAAUCUCUGCACUGCGCUUCAGUCCAGCAUACUCUUCAAGCUAUGGAAAUGGGUUGUUGAAUAAAGUAGUGUUAUUAAUGAAUAUCAUAUAUAAUUUACAAAAAUGAAUCGAACUUCAAUUAUGAGUAAUUAGUUGUACGUAAAAUAACACAUGUAUCAUUAUAAUAAUUUCGAAUACAAUGCCUAAUAAAUCGAAUUAGUACUAAAAUUAUUAUAAAUAUGGAUUCACGAGAUAUGUCAAAAACCAAAAAAAGUUAGAUUCAUUAAUUAUUUAUUUUUAUUCGAAAGAUUAAUGUUUAUUAUUCUAAACAAAAAUAUAUAGCCUUAUGAAUGUGAAUAGUUGUUUCAUUCAAGUAUGUAGAAGCAAUAAUUAACAAAUCCAUAUUUCAAAACAAAAUGAGUUUAUAGAUCUCGAAAAAACAUAAAAUAGAAUUUGUUAUAUUACAUUCUUUUGUCUGUUUUUGAAUUUUUCUGCACAUAUGGGGAAUUGAACAUAGUUGGGUGAAGGGGGCACCAUCUCGACAGACAGAACCAAACAUGUACUGAGUUACUUUCGAUUAAAUAGUCUAACACAGUACAAAACCAUGAAAGUAUUUUCCCACCAUGAAACCAUAAAUAUUCAAACACAGUAUAGCAGAUCCGAGUUUUCGAUAUGUUUUAAAAAUUGUCAUUUACAUUCUUAGGGCUGAAAAAUCAAUAGAAAUCAGAAAAUGCAAUUGCCAGCAUCAUAUUUCGAAUGAAAUCACUAUGCAAACGACAGCAACAAGUAAUUUUCGAAAUAAUUUUCAUACAGAGCCGCCAAAAAAUUUCGAACUGACCUUGUUCGAUUUGAUGGAAUCGGAAGCCGAGUUUUGUUUUCUUUUCGAACAGACCUCGUUCGAUUUGCUCGAAUCGAAAUGUGAAAUAUGUUCGGUGGUCUUCAAUUUGCAGAAAGAAGAUAGAAGAAGAGUUUUUUGGCUGGCGUGAAUUUUGGGAUGUGGAGA
RNAcentral lists this long non-coding RNA (1083 nucleotides) under Salvia miltiorrhiza (redroot sage). Its description in RNAcentral is "long non-coding RNA (SMIL_LNC011548)". The record is from RNAcentral. Lineage: Eukaryota; Viridiplantae; Streptophyta; Magnoliopsida; Lamiales; Lamiaceae.